This 82-nucleotide transfer RNA is filed under the name Sulfurihydrogenibium sp. Its description in RNAcentral is "tRNA-Tyr". It matches the Rfam family "tRNA". From Rfam's summary of the family: Transfer RNA (tRNA) molecules are approximately 80 nucleotides in length. Their secondary structure includes four short double-helical elements and three loops (D, anti-codon, and T loops). Lineage: Bacteria; Pseudomonadati; Aquificota; Aquificia; Aquificales; Hydrogenothermaceae. The record is from RNAcentral.
GGAGAGGUAGCCAAGCGGCAACGGCAGGAGACUGUAAAUCUCCCGGUGAAAGCCUUCGGCGGUUCGAGUCCGCCCCUCUCCA